UGUAAGCUUUAUAAAUCUUAUG
This 22-nucleotide unclassified non-coding RNA is filed under the name Mus musculus (house mouse). RNAcentral's name for it is "oocyte_clustered_small_RNA7913". The record is from RNAcentral. Lineage: Eukaryota; Metazoa; Chordata; Mammalia; Rodentia; Muridae.